ACGGACUGGCUGCCUCCUGCACGCCCCCCCCUGGGGGGGGCGGGGCUUUCUCCGUCUGCCACAGACACGUUCCAGGGCGCUGUGACCGCCUGGACAGGUCAAGGGCGCUGCCGCUGCCCGGGGACACGGUU
This 131-nucleotide small nucleolar RNA is filed under the name Myotis davidii. Its description in RNAcentral is "Small nucleolar RNA SNORA77". It matches the Rfam family "Small nucleolar RNA SNORA77". Rfam says of the family: ACA63 (SNORA77) is a member of the H/ACA class of snoRNAs that guide the sites of modification of uridines to pseudouridines. This snoRNA was identified by computational screening and its expression in mouse experimentally verified by Northern blot and primer extension analysis. Lineage: Eukaryota; Metazoa; Chordata; Mammalia; Chiroptera; Vespertilionidae. The record is from Rfam by way of RNAcentral.